Molecule: ribosomal RNA, 253 nt
Filed under: uncultured bacterium
Lineage: Bacteria
Description: partial 16S ribosomal RNA
Rfam family: Bacterial small subunit ribosomal RNA
Source: RNAcentral
UACGUAGGGUGCGAGCGUUAAUCGGAAUUACUGGGCGUAAAGCGCACGUAGGCGGAUCUUUAAGUCAGGGGUGAAAUCCUGGAGCUCAACUCCAGAACUGCCUCUGAUACUGGGGAUCUUGAGUCCGGAAGAGGUAAGUGGAACUGCGAGUGUAGAGGUGAAAUUCGUAGAUAUUCGCAAGAACACCAGUGGCGAAGGCGGCUCACUGGCCCGAUACUGACGCUGAGGCACGAAAGCGUGGGGAGCAAACAGG